RNAcentral lists this ribosomal RNA (253 nucleotides) under uncultured bacterium. Its description in RNAcentral is "partial 16S ribosomal RNA". It matches the Rfam family "Bacterial small subunit ribosomal RNA", at positions 524 to 776 of the family's 1533-position model. The record is from RNAcentral.
UACGUAGGGUGCAAGCGUUGUCCGGAAUUAUUGGGCGUAAAGAGCUUGUAGGCGGUUUGUCGCGUCUGCUGUGAAAUUUCGGGGCUCAACCCCGAACUUGCAGUGGGUACGGGCAGACUAGAGUGUGGUAGGGGAGACUGGAAUUCCUGGUGUAGCGGUGAAAUGCGCAGAUAUCAGGAGGAACACCGAUGGCGAAGGCAGGUCUCUGGGCCAUAACUGACGCUGAGAAGCGAAAGCAAGGGGAGCGAACAGG